AGCGAACGCUGGCGGCAGGCUUAACACAUGCAAGUCGAACGGGCAUAGCAAUAUGUCAGUGGCAGACGGGUGCGUAACGCGUGGGAACGUACCUUUUGGUUCGGAACAACACAGGGAAACUUGUGCUAAUACCGGAUAAGCCCUUACGGGGAAAGAUUUAUCGCCGAAAGAUCGGCCCGCGUCUGUUUAGCUAGUUGGUAGGGUAAUGGCCUACCAAGGCGACGAUCAGUAGCUGGUCUGAGAGGAUGAUCAGCCACAUUGGGACUGAGACACGGCCCAAACUCCUACGGAAGGCAGCAGUGGGGAAUAUUGGACAAUGGGCGAAAGCCUGAUCCAGCCAUGCCGCGUGAGUGAUGAAGGCCCUAGGGUUGUAAAGCUCUUUUGUGCGGGAAGAUAAUGACGGUACCGCAAGAAUAAGCCCCGGCUAACUUCGUG
RNAcentral lists this ribosomal RNA (435 nucleotides) under uncultured bacterium. RNAcentral's name for it is "partial 16S ribosomal RNA". It matches the Rfam family "Bacterial small subunit ribosomal RNA", at positions 29 to 507 of the family's 1533-position model. The record is from RNAcentral.